GUCCCACCCGCCGCCUUAAUACUCAGUGGGCUCGCGUUACUCGGAAUUACUGGGCGUAAAGGGCGCGUAGGCGGCUCUGUGAGUCAGGCGUGAAAUUCCUGGGCUUAACCUGGGGACUGCGCUUGAUACUGCGGGGCUUGAGGCCGAGAGAGGGUGGUGGAAUUCCCAGUGUAGAGGUGAAAUUCGUAGAUAUUGGGAAGAACACCGGUGGCGAAGGCGACCACCUGGCUCGGUACUGACGCUGAGGCGCGACAGCGUGGGGAGCAAACAGGAUUAGAUACCCUGGUAGUCCACGCCGUAAACGAUGUGUGCUGGAUGUUGGGGUUCCUAGAAUCUCAGUGUCGUAGCUAACGCGGUAAGCACACCGCCUGGGGAGUACGGCCGCAAGGUUGAAACUUAAAGAAAUUGACGG
This 412-nucleotide ribosomal RNA is filed under the name uncultured bacterium. RNAcentral's name for it is "bacterial SSU rRNA". It matches the Rfam family "Bacterial small subunit ribosomal RNA", at positions 505 to 916 of the family's 1533-position model. The record is from RNAcentral.